This 468-nucleotide ribosomal RNA is filed under the name uncultured bacterium. RNAcentral describes it as "partial 16S ribosomal RNA". It matches the Rfam family "Bacterial small subunit ribosomal RNA", at positions 28 to 507 of the family's 1533-position model. The record is from RNAcentral.
GACGAACGCUGGCGGCGUGCUUAACACAUGCAAGUCGAACGGAAAGGCCCUGCUUUUGUGGGGUGCUCGAGUGGCGAACGGGUGAGUAACGCGUGAGUAACCUGCCCUUGACUUUGGGAUAAAUUCAGGAAACUGGGGCUAAUACCGGAUAGGAGCUCCUGCUGCAUGGUGGGGGUUGGAAAGUUUCGGCGGUUGGGGAUGGACUCGCGGCUUAUCAGCUUGUUGGUGGGGUAGUGGCUUACCAAGGCUUUGACGGGUAGCCGGCCUGAGAGGGUGACCGGCCACAUUGGGACUGAGAUACGGCCCAGACUCCUACGGGAGGCAGCAGUGGGGAAUAUUGCACAAUGGGCGGAAGCCUGAUGCAGCAACGCCGCGUGCGGGAUGACGGCCUUCGGGUUGUAAACCGCUUUCGCCUGUGACGAAGCGUGAGUGACGGUAAUGGGUAAAGAAGCACCGGCUAACUACGUG